Long non-coding RNA from Salvia miltiorrhiza (redroot sage), 725 nucleotides. RefSeq lists it as uncharacterized. The transcript has 5 exons. The record is from RefSeq and is a predicted model, not a curated record. Lineage: Eukaryota; Viridiplantae; Streptophyta; Magnoliopsida; Lamiales; Lamiaceae.
CCUGGUUUCCAACCUACAACGAUUUCCCUCCCCCAAAUUAGAAGCCCUAUUCGAAUCGCUGCUGCCGUCCGUCUGCCUCCAUUGUUUCCGCCUCCAUUUGCGCCGUGAGCUCUCUCCCCCCCCUCUCUCUCUCUCUUUCUCUCUCUCUCUCUCUCAUUGCCAUCCGCCACAUCCUUGUCAGCUUCCUCAUUCCACUGUCGUUUUUGCCGUCGCCACCGCCACCGCCGCUCGCCGCCUGUCGCCCGCCACGCGCCGCUGUCGCUGCUUGUUGCUCCCACACCUUAGGAAUGUGAAGUGGAUGAUAGGAAUUGGAUUCAAAAGUCUGGGAUUGAGAAGAACACUGCAGAAAUUCUAGCAGCUGAAGAAAUUGAACUGAUCCUCUCUAAAUAGCAUUUACUUACUGCAAGAGUGGUAGGGUUCACAUGGGAGGUCAGGUCUUGUUUGAAGGAUCCUCCAUUCCGGAAUUCAUUGCUAGGUGAAAUUUGCCAAAAGCCAACAGAUUUAUUAGGGUGUUGUCAGCAAGCUGAGGCACAGUACUUCUACAUAAAGAAAACAUUGCCCUCAGAAAUUUUCUUGAGGAAGAGGCUGUUUGACUGUACUUCUCCUUUAAAUUCAGGCUCCACAGGAUCAACAAGAAGAACUGCUUCCGGUAUACCACUCCGCGCUUGACUCGUGAGAAGUGUAGGAAGAAGUCAAGAACAAGAAAAAAGAUUGAAAGAUUGUGA